CACGAGCGCACCCUCGUUCUUAGUUGCCAGCAUUAAGUUGGGCACUUUAAGAAGACUGCCGGUGACAAACCGGAGGAAGGUGGGGAUGACGUCAAGUCAUCAUGCCCCUUACGUUCUGGGCUACACACGUACUACAAUGGUUGGGACAAAGGGCAGCCAACUUGCGAUAGUGCGCUAAUCUCAUAAAACCC
Molecule: ribosomal RNA, 191 nt
Filed under: uncultured cyanobacterium
Lineage: Bacteria; Bacillati; Cyanobacteriota
Description: partial 16S ribosomal RNA
Rfam family: Bacterial small subunit ribosomal RNA
Source: RNAcentral